GCCGGAGUAGCUCAGCGGAAGAGCGGGAGGCUUCACCUCCAGGUCGCUGGUUCGAUCCCAGCCUCCGGCA
This is a transfer RNA of Phytophthora ramorum (sudden oak death agent), 70 nucleotides long. It matches the Rfam family "tRNA". From Rfam's summary of the family: Transfer RNA (tRNA) molecules are approximately 80 nucleotides in length. Their secondary structure includes four short double-helical elements and three loops (D, anti-codon, and T loops). Lineage: Eukaryota; Oomycota; Peronosporomycetes; Peronosporales; Peronosporaceae. The record is from Rfam.